This 443-nucleotide ribosomal RNA is filed under the name uncultured bacterium. Its description in RNAcentral is "partial 16S ribosomal RNA". It matches the Rfam family "Bacterial small subunit ribosomal RNA", at positions 338 to 795 of the family's 1533-position model. The record is from RNAcentral.
CCUACGGGUAGCAGCAGUGGGGAAUAUUGGGCAAUGGGCGCAAGCCUGACCCAGCAACGCCGCGUGAAGGAAGAAGGCCCUCGGGUUGUAAACUUCUUUUAACAGGGACGAGAACCGUGACGGUACCUGUUGAAUAAGCCACGGCUACAUCGGUGCCCGCAGCCGCGGUAAUGCGUAGGGGGCAAGCGUUAUCCGGCAUUACUGGGGGGAAAGAGCGUGGAGGCGGGAGAGCAAGUCAGACGUGAAAUUCCAGGGCUCAACCCUGGCACGGCUGUUGAAACUGUUCUUCUUGAGUGAUAGAGAGGCAGGCAGAAUUCCGGGUGUAGCGGUGAAAUGCGUAGAUAUACGGAGGAACACCAGUGGCGAAGGCGGCCAGCUGGACAUUAACUGACGCUGAGGCGCGAAAGCGUGGGGAGCAAACAGGAUUAGAUACCCCAGUAGUC